Molecule: ribosomal RNA, 894 nt
Filed under: Heterosporicola beijingensis
Lineage: Eukaryota; Fungi; Ascomycota; Dothideomycetes; Pleosporales; Leptosphaeriaceae
Description: Heterosporicola sp. RSB-2019a partial large subunit ribosomal RNA
Rfam family: Eukaryotic large subunit ribosomal RNA
Source: RNAcentral
CAGGGAUUGCCCUAGUAACGGCGAGUGAAGCGGCAACAGCUCAAAUUUGAAAUCUGGCUCUUUCAGAGUCCGAGUUGUAAUUUGCAGAGGGCGCUUUGGCGUUGGCAGCGGUCCAAGUUCCUUGGAACAGGACGUCACAGAGGGUGAGAAUCCCGUACGUGGUCGCUGGCCUUCGCCGUGUAAAGCCCCUUCGACGAGUCGAGUUGUUUGGGAAUGCAGCUCUAAAUGGGAGGUAAAUUUCUUCUAAAGCUAAAUACUGGCCAGAGACCGAUAGCGCACAAGUAGAGUGAUCGAAAGAUGAAAAGCACUUUGGAAAGAGAGUCAAAUAGCACGUGAAAUUGUUGAAAGGGAAGCGCUUGCAGCCAGACUUGCCUGUAGUUGCUCAUCCGGGCUCUCGCCCGGUGCACUCUUCUACAGGCAGGCCAGCAUCAGUUUGGGCGGUUGGAUAAAGGUCUCUGUCACGUACCUCCUCUCGGGGAGGCCUUAUAGGGGAGACGACAUGCAACCAGCCUGGACUGAGGUCCGCGCAAUUGCUAGGAUGCUGGCGUAAUGGCUGUAAGCGGCCCGUCUUGAAACACGGACCAAGGAGUCUAACAUCUAUGCGAGUGUUUGGGUGUCAAGCCCGAGCGCGCAAUGAAAGUGAACGGAGGUGGGAACCCUUUUGGGGUGCACCAUCGACCGAUCCUGAUGUCUUCGGAUGGAUUUGAGUAAGAGCAUGGCUGUUGGGACCCGAAAGAUGGUGAACUAUGCUUGAAUAGGGUGAAGCCAGAGGAAACUCUGGUGGAGGCUCGCAGCGGUUCUGACGUGCAAAUCGAUCGUCAAAUUUGGGCAUAGGGGCGAAAGACUAAUCGAACUAUCUAGUAGCUGGUUCCUGCCGAAGUUUCCCUCAGGAAC